This 82-nucleotide transfer RNA is filed under the name Saccoglossus kowalevskii. Its description in RNAcentral is "tRNA-Ser". It matches the Rfam family "tRNA". Rfam says of the family: Transfer RNA (tRNA) molecules are approximately 80 nucleotides in length. Lineage: Eukaryota; Metazoa; Hemichordata; Enteropneusta; Harrimaniidae. The record is from RNAcentral.
GUAGUCGUGGCCGAGUGAUUAAGGCGAUGUACUAGAAAUCCAUUGGGCUCUGCCCGCUCAGGUUCGAAUCCUGUCGACUACG